AGCUGCACAGUGCCUGCCUGGCAAGCACAAGGCCCUGAGUUCGAUUCCUGAUAUCAAAAACAAAACAAGUGAACCUCUAUAGGCCAGUGCCAAAGAACUGGCAGCUUGGCCAAGUAGGCAGAAACUUCUCAUCUCCAAUAAAUUGAAGAGGUAGAAUCCUGCAGUAGACUCAAAACUCAAAAACUAGCUACACCAGGAAGAUGCUUCUGAGAAGUAGUCAUUUCCUACGGGUCCUGAAUACUAAUAAUAAAGCUACUUGCCAUAAGCAAUUUACAAGCAUCAACCCAGGAAUCAAACUUUAAAAAAAUAGAAAAUGAGAGGACACUUAAAUAAGAUGCAGCCCCCCCAGACUUUCAACUCACCAAAGGCAAACCCCGGGGGCAAUGAAGUGGAACAAUCCAAAAGCCACCCACCUGGACUCUCUCUCUCUUCUGGUAACAGCAGAAGUAACAAAGCAGAUGAACGAGGCUCUAGAAAAAAUCAAAGCAGAAAUAAUUUCCCAAGAGAUGGUGACCAGAGUGAAAGACAUGCUUAGUGACUCUAGAGUAGAUACAGAUAAAAGAACAGAGGAGCUCAGGAACAUGAUGAAAACCAUGAAUGCCAAAAUAGGAAAGAAAUGGAAUCCAUGAAACAGAUUCAAACAGAUACCUGGAUUGAAGACGCAUCAUCCCAUAUACUCCACACUGCCAAGUCAUUAACACUGAACUCACCCUGGACAGAACAGAACUUUUGCCUGAAUAAAGCUUAUUUGCCACAUGUGCUUCUUCUCGGGCCUAUCCAAGCCUUUGGAAAUUAGGGUCACUGGCAGCAGUGUGACACUGUGCUGGUGGCUGCUGAGCAUGUAAAAUAACAAACAAAAGCCACCCAAAUGUGCAGGAUUCCUGCCAAAUCCUUACCUGCACAGGCCAGGUGUCCACAGAGCCUGGCAAAAGCAGCCACUGGGCACCAGGGAUGGGAGUCCCUUCCAUCAUCUGGGCAAUGGGGAGCUAAGUUGACUUAUAAAGAUUAAAUCAGUAAUGUACAGAAAUAACUCACAAACUAAUCAGAUGACUUAAAAGGGAAAGAUUAUGAUGGUACUAAAACUAUUUUUGAAGGAUACUCAUUUGUAGUAUAAGAGAUGAAACAAAACAGGACUCAGACAUCUCGGUACUGUGUCCCUGAAUGUCUGUGACUGCAUCAUGAGUGCUGCUGCUGGAUUAGGAUAAAGUGACACAUCUGCAAAUAUGGACUCCACAAAUAAUGACAAGCGACUGGUAGUAAAUUUUAUUAGCAAAAGUUAAAAAAAGUAAACCUAGGGCCGGGGAUUUAGCUCAGUGGUUUCGUCGCCUGCUGCGCAAAUGCAAGGACCCGAGUUCGAUCCCCAGUACCAAAAAAAAAAAAGUAAACCUAAAUAUCUAAAGGAAUUGGCAAAAUAACUACACAUAUAUUCAGAAAUACAAAUUAAACACAGCUCUUAAACACACAAAAAGGUGCUGACGUCACAGUAAGAUAAAUAAAACCUCAGCCAGGGAUGGUGGCACACACUUAUAAUCCCAGUACUUGGGAGGCUGAGGCAGGCAGAUAACAAGCUUGAGGCCCAUUUGGGCCACACAGUGAGACUCAAGUCUCCAAAACCACCCCCACCCAGCCAAGCUCAGUGCACACACCUGUGACCCUAUCACUCUGGGCAAAGGGGCCGAAAAUUCAAGCACCACCUGGGCAAUACAGCCACUUAGCAAACCUGUCUCAAGAUAAGAAAUAAAAAUAGGGCUGGGGGUGUAGCGCAGCUCAACCCCAAGCACUGUAAAAAUCAAGCAGAAAACCCAUGCAGCAUGAGAGAAUCAUUUUAAACUAUUAGACUGAAAAGAUCCAACGGUUUGAUACACUACUGGUUACACUGAGGGAAACAGAAACUCAACUUGGGUGGAAAUGCAAAUUAAUAAACUUCUCCUGAGAGCAAUUGGGCAAAAAUCUAUUAAAAUAUUAAGUGCUUCAAUCCAGGAAUUCUACUUCUAGAUACAAAUUGGUUAUUCCUAAAGAUGUAUUACUUCUACCAAAAGAAUUAUGUAAAAGAACAGUAGCUUUAGUAUUAGAGAGAAAACGACAGGGAAAAAUCUGAACUUUCUUUUUUGUAGUGCUGACUACAUCCCCAGCCUAAACAUAAACUUUUCAUCUACAAUAGGUCAAUUAAGUAACAUAUACUUCCUUACAUAAGAAUAACCUCCAACGGUAUAAAUAAAGAAGACAGCUGCAGGGUGUGGUGGUGCACACCUAUAAUCCCAGGACUCCUGAGGCUGAGGAAGGAGGAUCGCUGUGAGUUCAAGGCCAGCCUGGGCUACCCAGUGAGACCCUGUCUCAACCCCUCUCCCCCAAACAGUUCUAUAUACUAAUAUGAAGUAGUCUUCAGGAUAUACAUAUUAAGGAAAAAGUACUUAUUAAAGAACACUGAAUUACCUGCAAAAAUAAAAAAUUUAAAGGGGUAACAAUAGACCAGGUUUAUUUUAAUUACAUUGUUUAAUUUGUAAGAAAUGUGUAUGGAAUAAAAAUUUAAGGUUGGGGUGGGGAUUUAGCUUGGUGGCACUGUACCUGUCUGGCAAUUGCAAGGUCCUGCGUUCAAUUCCUGGUACCGAAAAAAAAAAUUUAAGGUAAAUAGAAUACUGCCCUGAGGUGGUAAUUAAUGCACACACAUAAAUAUGUAUUUAUGCAAAUAACAGGACACAGUUCUGCAUUGUGCUUUUUUUUUCAUUUAAAAGUAUUAAACAGGGCCAAGGAUUUAGCUCAGUGGCACAGCACCUGCCUCACAAGCGCAAGGUCCUGAGUUUGAUUCCUGGUACCAAAAAAACCCAAAAGUAUUAAACAUAUCUUUCAAUCUGACUAUUCCACAUAUACCAAAGCAACAAUGUUGCUUUUAACAAAGAACUAAACAAGCCGAAUCAUGUUCAAAAAUUAACUGAAGCUAUUUUACAACUUUCAUAAACAAGAAUAACAAUGGAGAAAGAAUAACCACUUAACAAAUUUACCCCAAGCAUCCUUGGGCAGUGUGUUUAUUUACGUACUAGGGCAGGUGUCAUUUCAACCAAUCAGUUCUUACACUGAUAAAAUCGUUUUUAUUUUAUUUAUUUUUGUGUGGGUUUUUUUUUUUUUUUUUUUUGGUACCAGGGAUUGAACUCGGGACCUUGCGCUUUCAAUGCAGGCGCUGGAACCACUGAGCUAAAUCCCCGGCCCUUAUUUUUGAGACAGGUUCUCACUAUGUAGUCCAGGCUGGCCUCGAACUUGGGGUAAUUCUCCUGCCUCAAUAUCCUAUGGGCUAAGAUUACAGGCAUGUGCCACUAUGCCCAACAAUUGUUUUUAUAUUUCCUAUUAUCUUAUAAAAAUUAAUGAAGAAAAAUAUGCAAUAUUUGGUCAUCCUGUAUUUAAAUAAUUUGCCUAGUAAGUGGUUAAAAUCUUACCAGCAGAGACUAUAAUACUCAGCUGUGCCUGCAGAAAGCAGGCUUUGUUAUUUUUCGUGGGAAGCAAUGUAUGAUGUACAGAACUACUUAGAACCUAGGAACCAGGAUACAAAAUUAAUCAUCUAUAAAAUUAUACCUAUAAAACUUCUAAGCAAAAGGACCCAAAAUAGACUUAUGGCCAAGUACAAAAAUGUGUCAAUAAAGCCAUAUUUGGUAUCUAUGUCUCAUGAGUCUGAGAGGUAUAUAGUAUCACUGUUUAAUAUACUUUCUUUUGACCACUACAAAACUAAUUAUUCAGAAGCAUGUGAUGAAUGAAAUUUGCUCUAGGGUGCGGUGUAGGUAGCUCCGAGCACUUGUGUGGCACAUGUCAGGCCCUCCCAGCACUGCCAAAAAGAAAGCUGUUCACAAAUGGGAAAGGUGGCAGGGCAUGGUGGUGCACGCUUGUCAUCCCAGGACUCUGAGAAGCUAAGGUGGGAGCAUCUCAAGUUCAACUUAACAAGGCAAAUUAACCCAGGAAACAUAGCAAGACCUUGUGUCAAAAAAUAAAAAGGGGGCCGGGGAUUUAGCUCAGUGGUUCCAACUGCCUGCCUCGCAAGUGUAAGGACCCAAGUUCGAUCCCUGGUACCAAAAUAAAUAAAUAAAUAAAAAAUAAAAUAAAAAGGGACACUGCACCUGCCUUGUGAGCACAAGGUCCUGAGUUUGAUCCCUGGUACCCCCAAAAAUAUAAAUAAAUAAAAAGGGGCCAGGGCCAUAGCUCUGGAUUCAAUUCCCAAUACCACAAAAAAUAAAUAAGUAUGUAAAAUGGGAAAAAUGAUUCAGUGAACUAAGUCAUCUGGCCAAGCAUUCAUGAAGCAAUGAAACAUUUGGCUUUUUGGUUUUUGGGGGGUUUUUUGGUACUAGGGAUAGAACUCGGGUCCUUGUGGUUGCGCAGCAGGCGGCAAAACGACUGAGCUAAAUCCCUGGCCCUGAAACAUUUGUUAAAACCAACUGGUGUUUGGAAAAUGGGGAUGGGCCAGGCAUGUAGCUCAGAGGUGCAAGCACAAGGUUGAGUUCAAUUCCCAGUACUGGAAAAAAAAAAAGAAAGAAAAUGGGGAAGAAGCUGGAGGUGGACUUGUUUUUCUGUUGUCCUGUUGCAGACUACAAAACAGCAUAAUACACGACGUGACCAUUUUCAGGCACUGGGUAGGUGCUGGCCCAGGGAGUGGCUUCCAGCCUGUGGAGGCAGCUGAGGCUACGGCCAGUUCCCCAGCCCAGGCAGCUGGCUGCACCUCAGGUCUCGGGCGGAGGUGCUGGAGCCUGAGGAGACAGGGACCAGAGAGGGACACGAAGAGAAGGAGCAGAAGUCUGGAAGGAUCCCAGGCAGAUCCACACCCAAGUCCUAUUUGCAUGUGUGCAGGACAGAGGUCCACAGGGCCGGCUGGCAAGAGCAGCUGCUGGCAGAGCCAAGCCAGAGACGGACAGCUCAGAGUUGCAUGGAUGCGCUGUGUGGCUCAGGAUGGGCAUUUCCUCAUCUGUGAGAGGGGACAAUGGAGUCUAAC
This 4966-nucleotide long non-coding RNA is filed under the name Heterocephalus glaber (naked mole-rat). Its description in RNAcentral is "lncRNA (ENSHGLG00000047914.1)". The record is from RNAcentral. Lineage: Eukaryota; Metazoa; Chordata; Mammalia; Rodentia; Bathyergidae.